GCAGGAGGAUGAGGAGGAGAGGAGGAGGAGGAAGAGGAGGAAGAGGAGGAAGCAGCAGCGGCAGGAGGGGCAGGGGAACGAACGUGCCGGGCGCGGUUCGGUGGGGAGGCGGUCGGGAGGGGCGGCACCGAUGGCCGCCGACGGCACCAGCACCACCACCAGCAGCUCCGGCAGCAGCUCCGGCAGCAGCUCCGGCAGCAGCUCCGGCAGCAGCUCCGGUAGCGGCAGCGGCGGCGACGAUGGCGGCGGGAGCGUGGAAGGGAGCCGUGACCGGGACAUCCUGAAACGGAUCCGAAGGCUCCCCUCGCUACACGGGAGGUGACGGAGCGGUCCGACUCACCACCACCACCACCUCCACCACCUCCACCACCGCCACCACCACCACCACCACCGCCACCACCGCCACCACCACCGCCAUCACCACCGCCACCACCACCACCGCCGCCACCACCACCGCCAUCACCACCACCACCACCACCACCGCCACCACCGCCACCACCGCCUCCCGGCCGUGAGAGAAUGCGUUUGCGGGGUCCAUGCGCAGGCAUGGGGUUGUUGUUUUGUCGCCCAAUUGUUUUUUUUAGUACCGUGCGGAUAUUUGGUGUUUUUGUUGUUAAUAAAGUUGCCUUCCGUUCCCUG
Non-coding RNA from Petromyzon marinus (sea lamprey), 639 nucleotides. Lineage: Eukaryota; Metazoa; Chordata; Hyperoartia; Petromyzontiformes; Petromyzontidae. The record is from RefSeq and is a predicted model, not a curated record.